This is a long non-coding RNA of Pelobates fuscus (common spadefoot toad), 471 nucleotides long. RefSeq lists it as uncharacterized. The record is from RefSeq and is a predicted model, not a curated record. The transcript has 2 exons. NCBI's taxonomy places the organism in Eukaryota, Metazoa, Chordata, Amphibia, Anura, Pelobatidae.
GUCACGUGUCAGGGUAACUAUAAAAGGCAGUGUACGCGGCUUCUUCCGUUCAGGCUGACCUUUCUCAGUGUCUUAUAGCUGCUGCUUGUUAUCGCUGUUCGACCAUCCAACAUGUCCGCCUCACUAGCCCGGCUGUUCCGGAUUCCAAGCCUGGCUCAGGUCACAGCUAGGAGGGGGAUUGCUUCCAAGCCAGCUCGCAGCCCAGUGAGCUCCACGGAGUCCAUCAUUGGAUUUACAACAUUUGUUGUAUGCUUCCUGGCUCCAUCCGGAUGGGUUCUCUCCAACAUGGAGGUUUAUAAAAAGAGGGAUUGAAUCCAGCUCUUCAACUGCAUUUGUUACAUUCCAUUCGAGAGUCAAGACACAAGGAUACACAUGUCGCUGGUCCUGAACGCACAUUUUCUCCAUGUCUCUAAAAUAAUUUAGUCUGUUACAUUAAAAUGUUUACUCCUACAUAUUAAAUUGCAGUUCCAA